UCGUGUGUGAAAGGCGCGGGCUCAACCCGCGGACGGCACAUGAUACUGCGAGACUAGAGUAAUGGAGGGGGAACCGGAAUUCUCGGUGUAGCAGUGAAAUGCGUAGAUAUCGAGAGGAACACUCGUGGCGAAGGCGGGUUCCUGGACAUUAACUGACGCUGAGGCACGAAGGCCAGGGGAGCGAAAGGGAUUAGAUACCCCUGUAGUCCUGGCAGUAAACGGUGCACGCUUGGUGUGCGGGGAAUCGACCCCCUGCGUGCCGGAGCUAACGCGUUAAGCGUGCCGCCUGGGGAGUACGGUCGCAAGAUUAAAACUCAAAGAAAUUGACGGGGACCCGCACAAGCGGUGGAGUAUGUGGCUUAAUUCGAUGCAACGCGAAGAACCUUACCUGGGCUUGACAUGUAAUGAACAACAUGUGAAAGCAUGCGACUCUUCGGAGGCGUUACACAGGUGCUGCAUGGCCGUCGUCAGCUCGUGUCGUGAGAUGUUUGGUUAAGUCCAGCAACGAGCGCAACCCCUGUUGCCAGUUACCAGCACGUGAAGGUGGGGACUCUGGCGAGACUGCCCAGAUCAACUGGGAGGAAGGUGGGGACGACGUCAGGUCAGUAUGGCCCUUAUGCCCAGGGCUGCACACGUACUACAAUGCCCAGUACAGAGGGGGCCGAAGCCGCGAGGCGGAGGAAAACUCCUAAAAACUGGGCCCAGUUCGGACUGUAGGCUGCAACCCGCCUACACGAAGCCGGAAUCGCUAGUAAUGGCGCAUCAGCUACGGCGCCGUGAAUACGUUCCCGGGUCUUGUACACACCGCCCGUCACAUCAUGGAAGCCGGUCGCACCCGAAGUAUCUGAAGCCAACCGCAAGGAGGCAGGGUCCUAAGGUGAGACUGGUAACUGGGAUGAAGUCGUAACAAGGUAGCCGUAGGGGAACCUGCGGCUG
This 936-nucleotide ribosomal RNA is filed under the name human gut metagenome. Its description in RNAcentral is "bacterial SSU rRNA". It matches the Rfam family "Bacterial small subunit ribosomal RNA", at positions 588 to 1520 of the family's 1533-position model. The record is from RNAcentral.